UGACUUAGGAAGGGAUAACUCCGGGAAACUGGGAUAAUACCCUAUAGGUUACGGUGCUGGAAUGCCCUGUAACCGAAAGUUCCGACGCCUUAGGAUGGAUCUGCGGCCGAUUAGGUUGUUGUCGGGGUAAUGGCCCAACAAGCCAGUGAUCGGUACGGGUUGUGGGAGCAAGAGCCCGGAGUUGGAUUCUGAGACACGAAUCCAGGCCCUACGGGGCGCAGCAGGCGCGAAAACUUUACAAUGCGGGCAACCGUGAUAAGGGAACCUCGAGUGCCUGUAUAUGCAGGCUGUCCAGGUGUCUAAAACACACCUGAAGAAAGGGCCGGGCAAGACCGGUGCCAGCCGCCGCGGUAAUACCGGCGGCUCGAGUGGUGGCCACUAUUACUGGGUUUAAAGCGUCCGUAGCUUGACUGUUAGGUCUCUUGGGAAAUCUUCGCGCUCAACGUGAAGGCGUCUAAGAGAUACCGGCAGUCUUGGAACUGGGAGAGGUAAACCGUACUUCGGGGGUAGGAGUGAAAUCUUGUAAUCCUCGAGGGACGACCUAUGGCGAAGGCAGUUUACCAGAACAGCUUCGACAGUGAGGGACGAAAGCUGGGGGAGCAAACGGGAUUAGAUACCCCGGUAGUCCCAGCCGUAAACAAUGUGCGUUAGGUGUGUCGGUAACCACGUGUUACUGAUGCGCCGAAGAGAAAUCGUGAAACGCACCACCUGGGAAGUACGGUCGCAAGGCUGAAACUUAAAGGAAUUGGCGGGGGAGCACCACAACAGGUGGAGCCUGCGGUUUAAUUGGAUUCAACGCCGGG
Molecule: ribosomal RNA, 803 nt
Filed under: uncultured archaeon
Lineage: Archaea
Description: bacterial SSU rRNA
Rfam family: Archaeal small subunit ribosomal RNA
Source: RNAcentral